This is a long non-coding RNA of Synchiropus splendidus (mandarinfish), 247 nucleotides long. RefSeq lists it as uncharacterized. The record is from RefSeq and is a predicted model, not a curated record. Lineage: Eukaryota; Metazoa; Chordata; Actinopteri; Syngnathiformes; Callionymidae. The transcript has 3 exons.
CUUUAACUCACCAGACGCCUCAGCUGAUAGGAGAUACAAAGACAACGAGCACGCCACACCUUCUACCUGUCGCUUCAACACCAACACCAACACCAACGUUUGCUCUCCCCUCUGGGUCUUGGCCUUUGUGGGAGACAUCGACGCCGGUUUCCUCAGUACCUCUGGAUCUACUAUCCGGACCGUUCCCUGCUGAAGACUCGACGUCGGCAUCUGGGCUAUCCGCACCUCCACAGCCACCGUCGCCGAC